GCAGUGUCGGUAAGUUACAGCUGUCGCAUCUGGUCCGGUUGAUUCGGCCCAGAAUCUGAAAGUGAUGUGUCGCUAUAUAAAU
Molecule: long non-coding RNA, 82 nt
Organism: Sinocyclocheilus grahami
Lineage: Eukaryota; Metazoa; Chordata; Actinopteri; Cypriniformes; Cyprinidae
Exons: 3
Source: RefSeq, a predicted model, not a curated record